UGGGGUUGCUGAUCGAUUCUUCUUUU
RNAcentral lists this non-coding RNA (26 nucleotides) under Rattus norvegicus (Norway rat). The record is from RNAcentral. Lineage: Eukaryota; Metazoa; Chordata; Mammalia; Rodentia; Muridae.